AGCACCUGCUCUGAGUUUGACACCUGCCUGCCAGCAGCAACACUCCGUCAGCGCAGCAGCCAACAGGUCAGUAACAGUGUGCAGACCUGCGGCCCUGAACGCAGCACACUCUCAGAACAUCCGUCCACACACCCACGGCCAUAUGCAGCGGAGGGAUUUGUGAAUGGGCUCCUACCUUGGCACUGGAAUCCCUGCUUCCCGAAGCCCCUGUGGACGGAGAGACGGCGGUUCUUUCUCAGCGUUCUUCUUCAGUCCAGCAACAUCAACUGAUUGAACGUUCAGUCGAAGAGAACAACUUCUACAUAUCGGCACAAGACAAACCGUGAUGAGCUGCCUGGAGUCAUAAAAAAGGAGCGGCCACGUUAUGUGUGGGAGACCACGUGUGAACAACACGAACCGCUGCCUCUCGGAUACUCGAACCUGUGAUGUUCCAGCUUAAAAAGGUUCAUCACCUGCCCACAACUCCAGCCAAUCACAUCAGCAGUGAUGGCUGCAUUUAAUGAAGCGUCUAAUCUGGUAUCACACAGACGAUUAUGUAAGAAUUCAUGUGCAAAACAUCUGAGUUGGUGACACAGAAAACCCUCUGAUUAAUGCAUGAUGAAUAACAGGCGCCUCGCUGAUUACCUUCCAUCUAUGUGCAGCACUUAAAACACUCCUACCUCACCUGUCUCUGUGCGAAAGCAGCGUUAAAGGAACAACAUGCUAUGGUCAUUUCUCAACUAUUUUUGAGAUUCAAAUAGGAUUUAUACACACUCACACACACACACACACACACACACAACAAUAACAAUUUAACAAUAUUUCUUUUUUUUGUAAUUUUUUGGGCAAUAUUUUACUAGUAUUUUACUAAUAAUGUAAAAAUUUCCCAGAAAUUAUGUUUUGGCUCAUUUU
Amphiprion ocellaris (clown anemonefish) is the source of this 891-nucleotide long non-coding RNA. RefSeq lists it as uncharacterized. The transcript has 3 exons. Lineage: Eukaryota; Metazoa; Chordata; Actinopteri; Pomacentridae. The record is from RefSeq and is a predicted model, not a curated record.